CGGAGGAAAAGAAACUAACCAGGAUUCCCCUAGUAGCGGCGAGCGAAGCGGGAUUAGCCCAAUGUGAAAAGCCAUAAUCGGCAUUGUAGUUGUGCGAUCUUGAGGCGUCAGUUCAGGAAAGUGGCAUGGAAAUGUCUACCGUGGAGGGUGAGAGUCCCGUCCAUCCUGGACAGGGCGUCCUCGUACGAGAUCGUCACAGUCGAGUCGGGUAGCUUGGGAAUGCUGCUCUAAUCGGUGGUAAAUCUCAUCGAAGGCUAAAUACUGGUGGGAGACCGAUAGUGAACAAGUACCGUGAGGGAAAGAUCAAAAGCACUUUGAAAAGAAGGUGAAAAGAACCUGAAACCGUUACGGGGGAAGCGGAUUGCGUUGAAUUGAAGGGUGUCUAUGUGUUCAGCCCGCAAGGGUGUACUCAUGUAGAUGCUUACUUGCCGUGGGUUUGUGGAUACCGACUUUGGGUAUCCGCAGGCUGAGGGCUCCCCUCCGGGGUUGAGGACGGCAAGGUGGCGACGCGAUACGACCCGUCUUGAAACACGGACCAAGGAGUCUAGCACAUCUGCGAGUCGUAGGGUGGCAAAACCUGAGGGCGCAGUGAAAGCGAGUUUAUUUAAAACGAGCAGUUUGAGGCGGCAUACUUUCGUUGAAUGUAGGUCCGACCUAGAGCAAAUGUGCUGGGACCCGAAAGAUGGUGAACUAUACCGGAGUAGGGCGAAGCCAGAGGAAACUCUGGUGGAGGCUCGUAGCGGUGCUGACGUGCAAAUCGCUCGUCGAACUUGGGUAUAGGGGCGAAAGACUAAUCGAACCAUCUAGUAGCUGGUUCCCUCCGAAGUUUCUCUCAGGAUAGCAGGCCGACAGACGUUGUUAUGUGCGGUAAAGCGAAUGAUUAGCGUAUUUGGGGGCGCUUAGCCUUCAGACGAUUCUCAAACUUUAAAUGCGCAAGGGUGUUGCUGCUUAAUUGAGCUUCGCCUUUAAAAACGUCGGCCUUGUGGGCCACUUUUGGUAAGCAGAACUGGCGAUACGGGAUGAACCGUAAGCGUGGUUAAGGCGCCAAAUUAUCCGCUUAUAGAUCCCACAAAAGGUGUUGAUUCAUCGAGACAGCAGGACGGUGGCCAUGGAAGUCGGAAUCCGCUAAGGAGUGUGUAACAACUCACCUGCCGAAUGAAUUAGCCCUGAAAAUGGAUGGCGCUGAAGCGGGUAGCCGACACCACGCCGUCUGGACAAAGUGGUUUUUUCAGAUGAGUAGGAGGGCGUGGCGGUUGUAUCGAAGCGUGGAUGCGAAUCUGCGUGGAACAGCCGCUAGUGCAGAUCUUGGUGGUAGUAGCAAAUAUUCAAGCGAGAUCCUUGAAGGGCGAAGCGGGGAAGGGUUCCACGCGAACAUUGAUUGGGCGUGGGUGAGUCGUUCCUAAGCCGCGUGGCAAUAGCUAAUUACCGGCGAAAGGGAAGCAGGUUGACAUUCCUGCACACGGAUGUGGAGACGGCGACGAUACAUGAGGCGAUCACGCUGGCGGUGGCGCUGGGCAGAGUUGUCUUUUCUGUUUGACCAAUAAAUACUUGCUGUGUGGAAUCCGCUUGUCGGGAGAAACACGCAAGUACGGGCAGAGCGCCGGGGCUUUUCCGGCGUCCAGCUCGCCACCGACGGCCCUUGAAAAAUUGCCUGCUGGACAACAUUUCGGUGUUGUGAGAUCCACGCCGUGGCGUACCGAUAACCGCAUCAGGUCCCCAAGGUGAACAGCCUCUGCUCAGUAUGAACAAUGCAGGUAAGGGAAGUCGGCAAAUUGGACCCGUAACUUUGGGAAAAGGGUUGGCUCUAGUGCUGCGUGGGAGUAGUUGUCGGCUGUUGGCGCUGUUAGAGAUGCGUGCACGGCGCGUNCCGCAAGGGAUGUGCUGUGCUGCGUUUCCGGCGGUGCUGCUCCGACGACGCCCACAGCAUGCAGCAGACUAGAACUGCAACGGGCAAAGGGAAUCCGACUGUUUAAUUAAAACAAAGCAUUGCGAAGGCCGUGGCCGGUGAUAACGCAAU
Molecule: ribosomal RNA, 2017 nt
Filed under: Spyridia americana
Lineage: Eukaryota; Rhodophyta; Florideophyceae; Ceramiales; Spyridiaceae
Description: partial large subunit ribosomal RNA
Rfam family: Eukaryotic large subunit ribosomal RNA
Source: RNAcentral